This 253-nucleotide ribosomal RNA is filed under the name uncultured bacterium. RNAcentral's name for it is "partial 16S ribosomal RNA". It matches the Rfam family "Bacterial small subunit ribosomal RNA", at positions 524 to 776 of the family's 1533-position model. The record is from RNAcentral.
UACGGAGGGUGCAACCGUUGCUCGGAAUCAUUGGGCGUAAAGCGCACGUAGGCGGCCUGACAAGUCGGGUGUGAAAGCCCUGGGCUCAACCCAGGAAGUGCACUCGAAACUGCCAGGCUUGAAUAUGGAAGAGGGUCGCGGAAUUCCCGGUGUAGAGGUGAAAUUCGUAGAUAUUCGCAAGAACACCAGUGGCGAAGGCGGCUCACUGGCCCGAUACUGACGCUGAGGCACGAAAGCGUGGGGAGCAAACAGG